This 63-nucleotide transfer RNA is filed under the name Eurytrema pancreaticum. RNAcentral describes it as "tRNA-Thr". The record is from RNAcentral. Lineage: Eukaryota; Metazoa; Platyhelminthes; Trematoda; Plagiorchiida; Dicrocoeliidae.
GGUAUAGUUUAGGGGCUUUAGAAUGAUACUUUUGUAAAGUAUUGGGGCAUUGUUGGGUUGCCU